CGUUGAUACUGUCGAGCUUGAAUUUAGUUGCUGUGGGUGGAAUGUGUGGUGUAGCGGUGAAAUGCAUAGAUAUCACACAGAAUAUCGAUUGCGAAGGCAGCUCACAAAGCUAAUAUUGACGCUGAUGCACGAAAGUGUGGGGAUCAAACAGGAUUAGAUGCCCUGGUAGUCCACACUGUAAACGAUGAUAACUCGCUGUCGGCGAUACACAGUCGGUGGCCAAGCGAAAGCGAUAAGUUAUCCACCUGGGGAGUACGACCGCAAGGUUGAAACUCAAAGGAAUUGACGGGGGCCCGCACAAGCGGAGGAACAUGUGGUUUAAUUCGAUGAUACGCGAGGAACCUUACCCGGGCUCGAACGGUGCAUGAAUGAUUCAGAGAUGGAUUAGUCCUUCGGGACAUGUAUCGAGGUGCUGCAUGGUUGUCGUCAGCUCGUGCCGUGAGGUGUCGGCUUAAGUGCCAUAACGAGCGCAACCCUUGUCGUUAGUUGCCAUCAGGUAAUGCUGGGAACUCUAGCGAGACUGCCACCGUAAGGUGCGAGGAAGGGGGGGAUGACGUCAAAUCAGCACGGCCCUUACGUCCGGGGCGACACACGUGUUACAAUGGCAGGUACAGAGGGCAGCUAUCCCAGCGAUGGGGUGCGAAUCUC
RNAcentral lists this ribosomal RNA (648 nucleotides) under uncultured bacterium. RNAcentral describes it as "bacterial SSU rRNA". It matches the Rfam family "Bacterial small subunit ribosomal RNA", at positions 625 to 1275 of the family's 1533-position model. The record is from RNAcentral.